Molecule: long non-coding RNA, 523 nt
Filed under: Capsicum annuum
Lineage: Eukaryota; Viridiplantae; Streptophyta; Magnoliopsida; Solanales; Solanaceae
Description: long non-coding RNA (CANN_LNC012584)
Source: RNAcentral
CUCUGACAGCACAAACAAGGUGUUAUUGCCAACCAAACAUAAACAGAAAAUAGUCAGACUUUAUUCAUUUGUUGGAGUCCCACAUCGGUGGGUUAAAGGUCCUUGGUCUCCUUAUAUGGUCUUGGGCAAUCCUCCCCUCAUGAGUUAGCUUUUGAGGUUGAGUUAGGCCCAAGGUCCAUUUCUUUAUCAUGGUAUUAGAGCCAGGCCCACCCAGUUCAUUGUUUCCGAUGUUGGGCCCCCCGUCUUAUAUUGUCCAUGCUCCAGAUGUCCAGCCCUGGGCAUGCGGGGGUAUUGGAGUCCCACAUCGUUGGGUUAAAGGUCCUUGGUCUUGGGCAAUCCUCCCUCAUGAGCUAGCUUUUGAGGUUGAGUUAGGCCCAAGGUCCAUUUCUUUAUCACUUUUAGAUACUUACAGAACCUGGAAGGCAGUACAGUUGCCAAUGUUUCGAGGAAUGGAACCAGUCAAACUAUUGUUCCGAACAUCACUGCACAAAACAAUGAAUAAUGGCUAAUUUUAUCACCCUAA